RNAcentral lists this unclassified non-coding RNA (274 nucleotides) under Hevea brasiliensis (rubber tree). The record is from RNAcentral. Lineage: Eukaryota; Viridiplantae; Streptophyta; Magnoliopsida; Malpighiales; Euphorbiaceae.
CGCGCCUUGCAGGCAAUGCACGCGCGCGGGCGCUGGCGAUGCUGGCCGAACCCGUGUCGGCCGAACAGGCCGAAGCCUGGGGCAUGAUCUGGAAGACCGUCGACGAUGCCAACCUGAUGACCGUAGCCGCCCAUCUCGCCAAGCAACCGACGGGCGCCCUCGCCCUGACCAAACAGGCGCUUGAUGCAUCCGAAACCAACACCCUCGCGCAGCAACUCGACCUCGAGCGCGAUCUUCAGGGGCAAGCCGGACGCGGCUCGGAUUUCGCGGAGGG